UGCGAAGCAGGCAGUGAUGCUGCGGCAGCUUCGCGCUAUGGCUGCUGCCGACCGCCAGGCGCUGCUACAGUGGAUGCGAACUACCGGUAAGUAUGCAGCAACAGCCCGAACCCACAGUUCACCUUGGUGCAUUCCUUUAUGACGAAGACUUAUUGAUUCAUUAUAUGAGAAAGGAAAAAUGAGCAGGAACUACUAUAUGAUGUGCAGCUCACACCAGACAGCGCCUUUAGGAUUAUCUUUCCAGUUCAGCAGUGCAAGUCUAUGGAGUAGAAUUGAAAGGAGACUUUCGCCAGUUGCAGGAAAUGGUCAUAAAAAAAUACCUGUUCACUGACAGAAUAAAGUCUCGCUCUGUCACAAGGCUGGAGUUUAGUGGCACGAUCUUGGCUCCCUGCAACCUCCGCCUCCCAAGUUCAAGUGGUUCUCCUACCUCAGCCUCCUGAGGUAGGAGCUGAGAUUUACAGGCACACUGUAAAUCUCAGCGUGCUGGAAUUACAGGCUGGAAUUACAGAGUAAUUUAUCCCUACUUAAAGAGAGAUUGCCCUACGUGUAACAGCUGCAUACAAAAAAGUUAUAAAAUUAUCAUUGGUUUAACAAGGAUAAAUGAAAAACAUU
RNAcentral lists this small RNA (612 nucleotides) under Pongo abelii (Sumatran orangutan). RNAcentral's name for it is "processed transcript". Lineage: Eukaryota; Metazoa; Chordata; Mammalia; Primates; Hominidae. The record is from RNAcentral.